Molecule: long non-coding RNA, 675 nt
Organism: Pipistrellus kuhlii (Kuhl's pipistrelle)
Lineage: Eukaryota; Metazoa; Chordata; Mammalia; Chiroptera; Vespertilionidae
Exons: 3
Source: RefSeq, a predicted model, not a curated record
UGGAGAGGGUGAAGAACAUCAGCUUGGUUCAGAUCCCACGUCUUCCACUUUUGGUUGUGACUUUGGGCAAGUUCUUUAUUCAUCUGCUCCAAGGCUCAUUUCCCUGAUUGCAAAUAUGUGUUCCAGGUGUGAUGACUUAGCCUCCGCGUUUUGAAGAUAUCACCUUUGCUGCUUAGUCCCUUCCAUGUGGCUUACCACCGCCACGGUUCCAGAAAAAUAUGAUGGUGAGCCAUCUGGGUGAAAAUCCAGCGAGAAAGUGGAGCCAGAGAGGUUGGAGGACAAUGAUUUCCUUCACUCUGAUCCCCUGUCUUCCUUUGGAAAUGAAAUAUCCUCCCCUCCUUUAUAAAAGAGAAAGAGGGAAAGAAAGAGAAAGCCAGUCAAACUGGUAUUGCCAAGGCAUUUUUUUUUAUUCCCAACAACUUCAUUGCUGCCUCCUAGUGAAAGUUUUAGAAUUGAAAAAAGACCAUUGACUGGGGAGGAUUUGGGGAUUGGGUGGAAGAAACUGAAUUUGCACAGACUCACAAACUCUUUCUGAGAUUGUCUCUGUCAGUUUCUGAUUGGAUAUAUUUGUGAGCACAGGUGUAUUACUGAGGCCACAAGGAAAAUACAGAACCCACGCAGAUUCUACUGAUCAAGGUACACUUUUCUGUGGGAGCUCACAAUCAAGAGUUGCCA